AGGUGGCGAGCGUUGUCCGGAUUUACUGGGUGUAAAGGGAGCGCAGGCGGUGCGGCAAGUCUGAUGUGAAAGCCCGGGGCUCAACCCCGGUACUGCAUUGGAAACUGUCGUACUAGAGUGUCGGAGGGGUAAGUGGAAUUCCUAGUGUAGCGGUGAAAUGCGUAGAUAUUAGGAGGAACACCAGUGGCGAAGGCGGCUUACUGGACGAUAACUGACGCUGAGGCUCGAAAGCGUGGGGAGCAA
This 243-nucleotide ribosomal RNA is filed under the name uncultured bacterium. Its description in RNAcentral is "partial 16S ribosomal RNA". It matches the Rfam family "Bacterial small subunit ribosomal RNA", at positions 529 to 771 of the family's 1533-position model. The record is from RNAcentral.